RNAcentral lists this ribosomal RNA (431 nucleotides) under uncultured bacterium. RNAcentral describes it as "bacterial SSU rRNA". It matches the Rfam family "Bacterial small subunit ribosomal RNA", at positions 340 to 762 of the family's 1533-position model. The record is from RNAcentral.
UACGGGAGGACAGCAGUGGGGAAUAUUGCACAAUGGGCGCAAGCCUGAUGCAGCCAUGCCGCGUGUAUGAAGAAGGCCUUCGGGUUGUAAAGUACUUUCAGUCGUGAGGAAGGUGUUAAGGUUAAUAACCUUAGCAAUUGACGUUAGCGACAGAAGAAGCACCGGCUAACUCCGUGCCAGCAGCCGCGGUAAUACGGAGGGUGCGAGCGUUAAUCGGAAUUACUGGGCGUAAAGGGCACGCAGGCGGUUAAUUAAGUUGGAUGUGAAAUCCCCGGGCUUAACCUGGGAAUGGCAUUCAAGACUGGUUAGCUAGAGUCUUGUAGAGGGGGUAGAAUUCCAUGUGUAGCGGUGAAAUGCGUAGAGAUGUGGAGGAAUACCGGUGGCGAAGGCGGCCCCUGGACAAAAGACUGACGCUCAUGUGCGAAAAGCGU